AGUAACACGUGGAUAAUCUGCCCUGCACAGGGGGACAACAGCUAGAAAUGGCUGCUAAUACCGCAUAAGCCUACAGCCUCGCAUGAGGGAGUAGGAAAAGAAAUUCGGUGCAGGAUGAGUCCGCGUCUGAUUAGCUAGUUGGAGGGGUAAAAGCCCACCAAGGCAACGAUCAGUAGCCGGCCUGAGAGGGUGAACGGCCACAUUGGGACUGAGACACGGCCCAAACUCCUACGGAAGGCAGCAG
This 244-nucleotide ribosomal RNA is filed under the name uncultured bacterium. Its description in RNAcentral is "partial 16S ribosomal RNA". It matches the Rfam family "Bacterial small subunit ribosomal RNA", at positions 109 to 354 of the family's 1533-position model. The record is from RNAcentral.